RNAcentral lists this ribosomal RNA (497 nucleotides) under uncultured bacterium. RNAcentral describes it as "partial 16S ribosomal RNA". It matches the Rfam family "Bacterial small subunit ribosomal RNA", at positions 28 to 507 of the family's 1533-position model. The record is from RNAcentral.
GAUGAACGCUGGCGGCGUGCCUAAUACAUGCAAGUCGAGCGAACAGACGAGGAGCUUGCUCCUCUGACGUUAGCGGCGGACGGGUGAGUAACACGUGGAUAACCUACCUAUAAGACUGGGAUAACUUCGGGAAACCGGCGCUAAUACCGGAUAAUAUAUUGAACCGCAUGGUUCAAUAGUGAAAGACGGUUUUGCUGUCACUUAUAGAUGGAUCCGCGCCGCAUUAGCUAGUUGGUAAGGUAACGGCUUACCAAGGCAACGAUGCGUAGCCGACCUGAGAGGGUGAUCGGCCACACGGGAACUGAGACACGGACCAGACUCCUACGGGAGGCAGCAGUAGGGAAUCUUCCGCAAUGGGCGAAAGCUUGACGGAGCAACGCCGCGUGAGUGAUGAAGGUCUUCGGAUCGUAAAACUCUGUUAUUAGGGAAGAACAAAUGUGUAAGUAACUAUGCACGUCUUGACGGUACCUAAUCAGAAAGCCACGGCUAACUACGUG